This 404-nucleotide ribosomal RNA is filed under the name uncultured bacterium. Its description in RNAcentral is "bacterial SSU rRNA". It matches the Rfam family "Bacterial small subunit ribosomal RNA", at positions 30 to 433 of the family's 1533-position model. The record is from RNAcentral.
AUUGAACGCUGGCGGCAUGCUUUACUCAUGCAAGUCGAACGGCAGCACGGGAGCUUGCUCCUGGUGGCGAGUGGCGAACGGGUGAGUAAUGCAUCGGAACGUACCCAGUAGUGGGGUGAUAACACAUCGAAAGAUGUGCUAAUACCGCAUACGCACUGAGGUGGAAAGCGGGGGACCUUCGGCCUCGCGCUAUUGGAGCGGCCGAUGUCGGAUUAGCUAGUUGGUGGGGUAAAGGCCUACCAAGGCAACGAUCCGUAGCUGGUCUGAGAGGAUGAUCAGCCACACUGGGACUGAGACACGGCCCAGACUCCUACGGGAGGCAGCAGUAGGGAAUUUUGGACAAUGGGCGCAAGCCUGAUCCAGCCAUGCCGCGUGAGUGAAGAAGGCCUCGGGUUGUAAAGCUC